GACGAACGCUGGCGGCGUGCCUAAUACAUGCAAGUUGAGCGCUGAAGGUUGGUACUUGUACCAACUGGAUGAGCAGCGAACGGGUGAGUAACGCGUGGGGAAUCUGCCUUUGAGCGGGGGACAAAAUUUGGAAACGAAUGCUAAUACCGCAUAAAAACUUUAAACACAAGUUUUAAGUUUGAAAGAUGCAAUUGCAUCACUCAAAGAUGAUCCCGCGUUGUAUUAGCUAGUUGGUGAGGUAAAGGCUCACCAAGGCGAUGAUACAUAGCCGACCUGAGAGGGUGAUCGGCCACAUUGGGACUGAGACACGGCCCAAACUCCUACGGGAGGCAGCAGUAGGGAAUCUUCGGCAAUGGACGAAAGUCUGACCGAGCAACGCCGCGUGAGUGAAGAAGGGUUUCGGAUCGUAAAACUCUGUUGGUAGAGAAGAACGUUGGUGAGAGUGGAAAGCUCAUCAAGUGACGGUAACUACCCAGAAAGGGACGGCUAACUACGUG
Molecule: ribosomal RNA, 497 nt
Filed under: uncultured bacterium
Lineage: Bacteria
Description: partial 16S ribosomal RNA
Rfam family: Bacterial small subunit ribosomal RNA
Source: RNAcentral